UAGGGAAUCUUCCACAAUGGACGCAAGUCUGAUGGAGCAACGCCGCGUGAGUGAAGAAGGUCUUCGGAUCGUAAAGCUCUGUUGUUGGUGAAGAAGGAUAGAGGCAGUAACUGGUCUUUAUUUGACGGUAAUCAACCAGAAAGUCACGACUAACUACGUGCCAGCAGCCGCGGUAAUACGUAGGUGGCAAGCGUUGUCCGGAUUUAUUGGGCGUAAAGCGAGCGCAGGCGGAAUGAUAAGUCUGAUGUGAAAGCCCACGGCUCAACCGUGGAACUGCAUCGGAAACUGUCAUUCUUGAGUGCAGAAGAGGAGAGUGGAACUCCAUGUGUAGCGGUGGAAUGCGUAGAUAUAUGGAAGAACACCAGUGGCGAAGGCGGCUCUCUGGUCUGCAACUGACGCUGAGGCUCGAAAGCAUGGGUAGCGAACAGGAUUAGAUACCCUGGUAGUCCAUGCCGUAAACGAUGAGCGCUAGGUGUUGGGGGACUUUCCGGUCCUCAGUGCCGCAGCAAACGCAUUAAGCGCUCCGCCUGGGGAGUACGACCGCAAGGUUGAAACG
Molecule: ribosomal RNA, 556 nt
Filed under: uncultured bacterium
Lineage: Bacteria
Description: partial 16S ribosomal RNA
Rfam family: Bacterial small subunit ribosomal RNA
Source: RNAcentral